AGAUGGCUCAAGGAGCAGGGAAAGGCUUGGUUUAUAGAAUCGGGACAGUUUUGUUCACUUCAUGUUGGAUCGUUAUAAUGAUAAAGUCAACCGACAGCAAACCACACCCACAGCCUUGAUAACUAAGUGGUCAUGAAUUACUGUCACCAGAGGUCACAGCAGGGUCAUGACAGCAUUAACGGUGCUUCAUUCAACAGGCGGCUAGAGCUCUGAAACAAAACAAAAACACCAGGAGGUCAGUCAGCGUGAAAUGGUCCCUCAUCGAUCAGUGCAAUUAACCGCGAAAGAUAUUUUAAAAUAAAGCAAAAUUCUUGCGUUGAUCUAGCA
This is a non-coding RNA of Chiloscyllium plagiosum (whitespotted bambooshark), 327 nucleotides long. The record is from RefSeq and is a predicted model, not a curated record. Lineage: Eukaryota; Metazoa; Chordata; Chondrichthyes; Orectolobiformes; Hemiscylliidae.